RNAcentral lists this ribosomal RNA (497 nucleotides) under uncultured bacterium. RNAcentral's name for it is "partial 16S ribosomal RNA". It matches the Rfam family "Bacterial small subunit ribosomal RNA", at positions 28 to 507 of the family's 1533-position model. The record is from RNAcentral.
GAUGAACGCUGGCGGCGUGCCUAAUACAUGCAAGUCGAGCGAACGGACGAGAAGCUUGCUUCUCUGAUGUUAGCGGCGGACGGGUGAGUAACACGUGGAUAACCUACCUAUAAGACUGGGAUAACUUCGGGAAACCGGAGCUAAUACCGGAUAAUAUUUUGAACCGCAUGGUUCAAAAGUGAAAGACGGUCUUGCUGUCACUUAUAGAUGGAUCCACGCUGCAUUAGCUAGUUGGUAAGGUAACGGCUUACCAAGGCAACGAUGCAUAGCCGACCUGAGAGGGUGAUCGGCCACACUGGAACUGAGACACGGUCCAGACUCCUACGGGAGGCAGCAGUAGGGAAUCUUCCGCAAUGGGCGAAAGCCUGACGGAGCAACGCCGCGUGAGUGAUGAAGGUCUUCGGAUCGUAAAACUCUGUUAUUAGGGAAGAACAUAUGUGUAAGUAACUGUGAACAUCUUGACGGUACCUAAUCAGAAAGCCACGGCUAACUACGUG